Molecule: ribosomal RNA, 892 nt
Filed under: Panagrolaimus detritophagus
Lineage: Eukaryota; Metazoa; Nematoda; Chromadorea; Rhabditida; Panagrolaimidae
Description: bacterial SSU rRNA
Rfam family: Eukaryotic small subunit ribosomal RNA
Source: RNAcentral
AAAGAUUAAGCCAUGCAUGUCUAAGUACAUGUGUAUUUAACACGAAACCGCGUAUGGCUCAUUAUAACAGCUAAAAUUUACUUGAUUUUGACUUUUAUCCUACAUGGAUAACUGUGGUAAUUCUGGAGCUAAUACAUGCAUAAAAGAUGUUUCUUUAUUGAAACAUUGCGUAUAUUAGUAUUAAAACCAAGCAUUCUUCGGAAUGUUUUGUGUUGAAACUGAAUAUAUCUGCUGAUCGUAUGGUCUUGUACCGACGACAUGUCAUUCAAGUGUCUGAUCUAUCAACUUUCUAUAUAAGUAUAUAGUACUUAUAUGGUUUUGACGGAUAACGGGGUAUUAGGGUACGACUCCGGAGAAAAUGCCUGAGAAACGGCGUUUACAUCCAAGGAAGGCAGCAGGCGCGAAAAUUACCCACUCUCAGUACGAGGAGGUAGUGACGAGAAAUGACAAGAUCUAUUCCUUCGGGGAUGGAUCAUUGGAAUGGUUUGAUUUUAAAAUCAUUAAAGAGUAUCAAUGAGAGGGCAAGUCUGGUGCCAGCAGCCGCGGUAAUUCCAGCUCUCAAAGUGUAUGUCAUUAUUGCUGCGGUUAAAAAGCUCGUAGUUGGAUCUGAGCCUUUGGCGACAGUUCGUUUUCAUGCGAUACUGUGGCCGGGGUUAAUUUUGUCGGUUCGCCGGCAAGAGUUACUCUAAAUAAAUCAGAGUGCUCAAAACAAGCGUUUCGCUUGAAUGUUUUUGCAUGGAAUAAUGGAAAAGGACUUCGGUUCCUUACUGUUGGUUUCGGAAUUGGAUUAAUGAUUAAGAGGGACCAACGGGGGCAUGCGUACCGCUACGCGAGAGGUGAAAUUCAUGGACCGUAGCGUGACGACCUAAAGCGAAAGCAUUUGCCAAGAAUG